UUUAGAGUUUGGACAGGUCGAAGAUUUUAGCAGAGGAGAGCGAGCAGCAGCAGGGGCGGCACAGAAGCAGCGGAGGAGCAGCCAUGGUUCUGAAGACGGAGCUCUGCCGUUUCAGCGGCGACAAGAUUUACCCGGGAAAGGGAAUCCGAUUCAUCCGCUCCGAUUCCCAGGUCUUCCUCUUCGCCAAUUCCAAAUGCAAGAGGUACUUCCACAACCGCCUCAAGCCUUCCAAGCUCACCUGGACCGCCAUGUACCGGAAGCAACACAAGAAGGAUAUUGCGGCUGAAUCUGUGAAGAAGAAGCGCCGCUCGACCAAGAAGCCCUAUUCGAGGUCCAUUGUGGGUGCCACAUUGGAAGUUAUCCAGAAGCGAAGGACCGAAAAGCCCGAAGUUCGUGACGCUGCCCGUGAGGCUGCUCUUCGUGAAAUUAAGGAAAGGAUUAAGAAGACCAAGGAUGAGAAGAAGGCCAAGAAGGCCGAAUCGGUGUCCAAGUCAAAGGGCCAGUCCAAGGGAAAUGUGCCCAAGGCUGCUGCUCCCAAGGCCGCCAAGCUUGGAGGUGGUGGUGGUGGAAAGCGAUGAGUUUUCUUCCUCUUCCUAUCUUAACAAUUUACUCAACUUGUUUUGCUCUGACAAUUUAAGUCUUUUCUGGUUUGCAUUUUUGUAUGGAUCAAUAUUUGCAUUGUUGGCCACUAGAAUUUUGGAUCUUCCUGUUGGGUUUCAAUUGCAUCACUGAAAGUUGUCAUUUUUA
Non-coding RNA from Malus domestica (apple), 747 nucleotides. The record is from RefSeq and is a predicted model, not a curated record. Lineage: Eukaryota; Viridiplantae; Streptophyta; Magnoliopsida; Rosales; Rosaceae.